CGUGUAGGCGGCUUAUUAAGUUGGAUGUGAAAGCUCCCGGCUCAACUGGGAGAGGACGUUCAAGACUGGUAGGCUAGAGGGCGACAGAGGGAGGUGGAAUUCCCGGUGUAGUGGUGAAAUGCGUAGAUAUCGGGAGGAACACCAGUGGCGAAGGCGGCCUCCUGGGUCGCACCUGACGCUCAGACGCGAAAGCUAGGGGAGCGAACG
This 207-nucleotide ribosomal RNA is filed under the name uncultured bacterium. Its description in RNAcentral is "partial 16S ribosomal RNA". It matches the Rfam family "Bacterial small subunit ribosomal RNA", at positions 568 to 774 of the family's 1533-position model. The record is from RNAcentral.